CAUCAACAGACAUGCAGCUAGAAACUUAGAUGAUGAACAUAGACUUACUGUAGCUUAAGUAUGGGUAGUGGCUCUUUGUAAGCAGUACCUUAUAGUGGAGAGCCUGGGGCAAGUGGAGAAGCUGAUCAUUAUAUUAACUAAACACAAAUAUAGCACAAAUAUAAUAUCUGUCAGGGUGAUUCACUAGAGUGAGAAUAAUUCAAAGUGAAUACAAUGUGAAUUUGAAAUUUAAGGUCAAAAAAGCCAAACUGGAAAAGUUAUUUAAGUUAGCAUUGCUUUCACUUCAGC
Pelobates cultripes (western spadefoot toad) is the source of this 288-nucleotide non-coding RNA. The record is from the annotation of a GenBank genome assembly. Lineage: Eukaryota; Metazoa; Chordata; Amphibia; Anura; Pelobatidae.